This 1891-nucleotide long non-coding RNA is filed under the name Sus scrofa (pig). RNAcentral describes it as "lncRNA (ENSSSCG00070013591.1)". The record is from RNAcentral. Lineage: Eukaryota; Metazoa; Chordata; Mammalia; Artiodactyla; Suidae.
AUGGAUCAAAACUCCUCCUGCUAUAGUGAGAUAUCAAACCUGCUCAAGACCAUAAACAAGAUACAAGCAGUUUUGGGUUUGUUUUCUGUGUUUAACUUUUUAGGGCCAUACCCUAAGGCUAGGGGUCCAGUUGGAGCUACAGCUGCCGACCUAUGCCAUGGCCACACAACACAGGAUCCAAGCCACGUCUGCAACCUACACCACAGCUCACGGCAACGCUGGAUCCUUAACCCACUGAGGAAGGCCAGGGAUCGAACCCACAACCUCACGAUUCCUAGUCAGAUUCCUUUCUGCUGCACCACAAUGGGAACUCCAAUGCAAGCAGUUAUAGAUUCCAAAAGCAUUGCUCAGUUAUAAGAGAAGACGAUUAAAAAAAGCCGUGCAGGAGAAUGGAAGAAGCUAAAUAUAUCUCAGCCUCUAACAUCAUGUCAAUGAAAAGUAAAAUUUACCAAUUGGAUAACACACGUGUCUUGCACUGACCACUGUCUAUACUUGGAGUUGGUAGUUUUCAUUGAUCGAAUGCUGCCAAGUCCGUGAUAUUUCUAGCUAUUACCUCCAAUUUCUGGAAGGGAAAAGCCAAACAGUGAAUGUCUUAACAGGAGUAAAUGAAAACAGGUGCCAGGAAAACAGAAAGAUGAAUGCUAAGGUCCUAACAUACGGCGACUAGAACUACCUUGGGUACCACAUGGUCCUGUGGAACUGGCCCUCCCUGUAUUGGACAUGUGAGCAUCCUUGCAUUUCUUCUGCAUUUUGUAGCCCUGGAUAUUCCUAGGCAACAUCCUACUAUCAUUUCUUUAUUUCAAAGCGUAAACUUACUAGCCCGAGGAGCUAUUAGUAUUGUGUUCACUAUUAAAUUCCCUGAUAGAAGUUCCUUAGAAAGCUGGGAAGUCAUUUCAUUUCUGGAGUGGUUUUGUUUUCUCUUGGAGCACAUGACUGGAGAGGUCAAUUAGGAUUGCCUUUUGGUCCUGGACUCUAAGAACUUCCCUUCCUCUCUUUCUUCUCCCAUCUCUGUCCCCUCUUCCUCCCUCCUACCUUCAUCUAGGGUUUGCCCCAUUUAGGAGAAAGGGUGGAGUUAGCUCUGAUCCCUGUGCUGGAGGACUUGCAAAUGAGAGGGAAGGAGGGAGGGAGGGUAAUGAGUGAUCCAGAGAGGGGGAAAGAAGGAAGCAGCAUUUGAGCCGAGGCUUGAAGGCUUGGUAGGACUCUGGCAGGUGGAUGAGGACAGGGACAGAUGCUGGGGUGGAAAAGAUGGUGGGAGGAAGUGGCAGAGGUGUGUGCAGGCGUGAGGGAGGGAGGAUGGGAUUGGCAAGAAUGGUGGAGAGAGUGGAAUGGGGUUAGGGUGUUCCAAGGAGUUGAGGAUUAUUGUGUUUGGAUUAUUGUGCAGGGAUUUGGCUCAUCCUCCUGAUAAAUGUUCAUGAAAAGCUCUCGACAGAACGCAGCAGGUGUGUCGGGUGGAAUAUUUGCUUUUUGAAGGGCUGCUGAACUUCCUAUGGAGACGACGAACUACCCACGAGGUGUCUGUGUUACCCACGUAUUUCACCCAAACACAGUCUAAAGAACACCUGGAUAGAACAUUUUACUUCUUACGGAGCUGGAAGAUUAGUUUGAAUCUAUAAUGAGUCUGUUUAUAUCCCCGAAGUAACACUGCGUGGUCUAGUCUGCUUUUAGAAUAUAAAUAAUAACUGCUUCACCAAAGACACCAUCCCUGGGCCCACAGGGGGCCCUUGGGGUCUCAGAAGAGUUGCAAGAUUAGAAUCCCAAGUGAUAACCUGAGAUGGAAUCAGAAAGGCGUUGACAGGCCCUGGAGAGCUGUGUAAGCCCCUUCCCACAUGAUGGGAGUGAGGCGAUCCACUUUCAGAAUAAAAUGUGUGUGUGUGUUUGUGUGUGUGUGUGU